AAUUAUACCGUGGAAACUGCGAAUGGCUCAUUAAAUCAGUUAUCGUUUAUUUGAUAGUACCUUACUACUUGGAUAACCGUGGUAAUUCUAGAGCUAAUACAUGCUAAAAACCCCAACUUCGGGAGGGGUGUAUUUAUUAGAUAAAAAACCAACGCCCUUCGGGGCUUCUUGGUGAUUCAUGAUAACUUUACGGAUCGCAUGGCCUUGCGCCGGCGACGGUUCAUUCAAAUUUCUGCCCUAUCAACUUUCGAUGGUAAGGUAUUGGCUUACCAUGGUUUCAACGGGUAACGGGGAAUUAGGGUUCGAUUCCGGAGAGGGAGCCUGAGAAACGGCUACCACAUCCAAGGAAGGCAGCAGGCGCGCAAAUUACCCAAUCCCGACACGGGGAGGUAGUGACAAUAAAUACUGAUACAGGGCUCUUUUGGGUCUUGUAAUUGGAAUGAGUACAAUUUAAACCUCUUAACGAGGAACAAUUGGAGGGCAAGUCUGGUGCCAGCAGCCGCGGUAAUUCCAGCUCCAAUAGCGUAUAUUAAAGUUGUUGCAGUUAAAAAGCUCGUAGUUGAAACUUGGGUCUGGCUGGCAGGUCCGCCUCACCGCGUGUACUUGUCCGGCCGGGCCUUCCUUCUGGAGAACCUCAUGCCCUUCACUGGGCGUGUUGGGGACCAGGACUUUUACUUUGAAAAAAUUAGAGUGUUCAAAGCAGGCCUUUGCUCGAAUACGUUAGCAUGGAAUAAUAGAAUAGGACGUGCGGUCCUAUUUUGUUGGUUUCUAGGACCGCCGUAAUGAUUAAUAGGGACAGUCGGGGGCAUCAGUAUUCAAUUGUCAGAGGUGAAAUUCUUGGAUUUAUUGAAGACUAACUACUGCGAAAGCAUUUGCCAAGGAUGUUUUCAUUAAUCAGUGAACGAAAGUUAGGGGAUCGAAGACGAUCAGAUACCGUCGUAGUCUUAACCGUAAACUAUGCCGACUAGGGAUCGGGCGAUGUUCUUUUUCUGACUCGCUCGGCACCUUACGAGAAAUCAAAGUUUUU
RNAcentral lists this ribosomal RNA (1027 nucleotides) under Phaeosphaeriaceae sp. RNAcentral describes it as "SSU rRNA". It matches the Rfam family "Eukaryotic small subunit ribosomal RNA", at positions 71 to 1108 of the family's 1831-position model. Lineage: Eukaryota; Fungi; Ascomycota; Dothideomycetes; Pleosporales; Phaeosphaeriaceae. The record is from RNAcentral.